GAAUAUUUGACAAUGGGGGCAACCCUGAUCCAGCCAUGCCGCCUGUGUGAAGAAGGCCUUCUGGUUGUAAAGCACUUUAAGCAGUGAAGCAGACGCCCUGGUUAAUACCCAUGCACUAUGACAUUCGCAGCAGAAUAAGCACCAGCUCACUCUGUGCCCGCAGCCGCGGGAAUACAGAGGGUUCAAGGGUUAAUCGGAAUUACUGGGCGUAAAGCGGGCGUAGGUGGCUUGAUAAGUCAACUGUGAAAUCCCCGGGCAUAACCUGGGAACUGCAUCUGAUACUGUUAGGCUAGAAUAGGUGGGAGGAAGGUAGAAUUCCAGGUGUAGCGGUGAAAUGCGUAGAGAUCUGGAGGAAUACCGAUGGCGAAGGCAGCCUUCUGGCAUCAUAUUGACACUGAGGUUCGAAAGCGUGGGUAGCAAAC
RNAcentral lists this ribosomal RNA (422 nucleotides) under uncultured bacterium. RNAcentral describes it as "partial 16S ribosomal RNA". It matches the Rfam family "Bacterial small subunit ribosomal RNA", at positions 359 to 773 of the family's 1533-position model. The record is from RNAcentral.